This is a long non-coding RNA of Pyrus x bretschneideri (Chinese white pear), 1190 nucleotides long. RefSeq lists it as uncharacterized. NCBI's taxonomy places the organism in Eukaryota, Viridiplantae, Streptophyta, Magnoliopsida, Rosales, Rosaceae. The transcript has 3 exons. The record is from RefSeq and is a predicted model, not a curated record.
CCUCUCCAAUAUCUUUUUCAAUUCAAGUUUUCAAUGAAUUCCAACUUUGGAUUCUCUUUGCAUUCCAACUGUGGGUCGAUCCAAUUCCAAAUUGGAAGAUAAAUGGGUGCAGAUGAGACAAGAAGAUGAGGAGUCCGAUGAAGAAGAUGAAGCAUGAUACAACCCAACAUAUCAAAGUUCUUUCUGCUGACAGGCAUCCAAUGAAAGUGCAAAGCACCCUGGAAAAGAGGUAAUCAGUGCCCAACAAGCUGAAGAUUUAAAACUGAAAGAAAGAGGAAGCGGGAGCGUGAGAAAAAUUUGCCUCGAAAGAAGCGACAAAAAUUGGAAGCAGCAAGCGAAAUGUCAGAGGAGGAAAAUCAAAAUGAAAAGUUUGAUGUACAAGAGGAGAUAGCUUCAUCAAGCUGGGAAUCAAAAUUCCCCAUAAUGUGUUGGACAUGCAGUGAAAGGGUUCUCUAGCAUUUUAUGCGGUGGCCACAGGUGUAACUAAGAAGCUCGUUAUACUGCGGACUGGUUUACGUAAUAUGGAAAUGUGUGGGCCAUUUCAAGUAAAUGGCUUCAAAUUUGUCCUGAUUUGACAUUGCCCUUUUUCUCCAGGUUUUUCAAACAUUGCCCGCAUUAAGGACCAGCGAGACUUUCUAGAGAAAAUUACUUCCGGUAAUGCUUACUGCUAGUCAUAUUUUACUUUUGUUGUGAGUGAACUUUUAAUUUUCAUUCAGUUCUUGACCUUUAUUGUUUUUAAUAUGUUUGAGUAGAUGGUUUGACAUCAGUCUUCUUUUUCGGUCGCUUACCCAUCCACGCUUGUAAUUUGUAAUAUUUUUACAAUGCAUCAAUCAUGUAACAAACUGCUACUCCCAACUUACUCUUUCUGUUUCAUCUUACUGAGGCAAUAUCUUUGCCCCAACCGUUUCGGAGUUGAGAUGGAAGUUCCCACAUGUAACCAUAUAUGAGACAAUACUUGAUAAGGUGUGACAUUCAAAUAUGCUACUAAAUCAUCAGAUAUCUGGUUUACUUGAAAUAGUAAUUUAUUAAAAUAAAAAAAAGAUUUGAAAAUCAUUUGUAUAGUUCUAUUAUGUUUUAUGUCUUUAGUGAUGGUGUUGUUGGGACCUCCAUGUUUUGAUUAUGCCCAGUCAGGCUUGCAUUUUUCAUAUUUUGGGCUUAGAGCCUCCACUUAAUCAAAAAAGAAAAAAAGA